RNAcentral lists this ribosomal RNA (253 nucleotides) under uncultured bacterium. Its description in RNAcentral is "partial 16S ribosomal RNA". It matches the Rfam family "Bacterial small subunit ribosomal RNA", at positions 524 to 776 of the family's 1533-position model. The record is from RNAcentral.
UACGUACGUGGCAAGCGUUGUCCGGAAUUAUUGGGCGUAAAGCGCGCGCAGGCGGUUCUUUAAGUCUGAUGUGAAAGCCCACGGCUCAACCGUGGAGGGUCAUUGGAAACUGGAGAACUUGAGUACAGAAGAGGAAAGCGGAAUUCCACGUGUAGCGGUGAAAUGCGUAGAGAUGUGGAGGAACACCAGUGGCGAAGGCGGCUUUCUGGUCUGUAACUGACGCUGAGGCGCGAAAGCGUGGGGAGCAAACAGG